UACGGAGGGUGCAAGCGUUAUCCGGAUUUACUGGGUUUAAAGGGUGUGUAGGCGGACUUUUAAGUCAGCGGUGAAAUCUCCGGGCUCAACCCGGAAACUGCCAUUGAUACUAUUAGUCUUGAAUAUUGUUGAGGUAGGCGGAACGGGUCAUGUAGCGGUGAAAUGCAUAGAUAUGACCCGGAACACCAAUUGCGAAGGCAGCUCGUUACACGA
This 213-nucleotide ribosomal RNA is filed under the name uncultured bacterium. Its description in RNAcentral is "partial 16S ribosomal RNA". It matches the Rfam family "Bacterial small subunit ribosomal RNA", at positions 524 to 736 of the family's 1533-position model. The record is from RNAcentral.